GAUGAACGCUGGCGGCGUGCCUAAUACAUGCAAGUCGAGCGAACGGACGAGAAGCUUGCUUCUUUGAUGUUAGCGGCGGACGGGUGAGUAACACGUGGAUAACCUACCUAUAAGACUGGGAUAACUUCGGGAAACCGGAGCUAAUACCGGAUGAUAUUUUGAACCGCAUGGUUCAAAAGUGAAAGACGGUGUUGCUGGCACGUAUAGAUGGAUACGCGCUGCAUUAGCUAGUUGGUAAGGUAACGGCUUACCAAGGCAACGAUGCAUAGCCGACCUGUGAGGCUGAUCGGCCACACGAGAACUUGGCCACGCUCCAUACUCCUGCGGUAGGCAGCAGUAGGGAAUCUUCCGCAAUGGGCGAAAGCCUUACGGAGCGACGCCGCGUGAGUGAUGGAGGUCUCCGGAUCGUAAUACUCUGUUAUGAGGGAAGAACAUAUGUGGAAUUAACUGUGCACAUCGUGACGGUACCUAAUCAGAAAGCCACGGCUAACUACGUG
This 497-nucleotide ribosomal RNA is filed under the name uncultured bacterium. Its description in RNAcentral is "partial 16S ribosomal RNA". It matches the Rfam family "Bacterial small subunit ribosomal RNA", at positions 28 to 507 of the family's 1533-position model. The record is from RNAcentral.